ACACAUGCAAGUCGAGCGGUAACAGGUGUAGCAAUACAUGCUGACGAGCGGCGAACGGGUGAGUAAUGUUUCGGAAUCUGCCCAAUGGUGGGGAAUAACCAGCCGAAAGGUUGGCUAAUACCGCAUAAGUCCUACGGGAGAAAGCGGGGGAUCGCAAGACCUCGCGCCGAUGGAUGAGCCGAAACCGGAUUAGCUAGUUGGUAGGGUAACGGCCUACCAAGGCGACGAUCCGUAGCUGGUCUGAGAGGACGACCAGCCACACUGGGACUGAGACACGGCCCAGACUCCUACGGGAGGCAGCAGUGGGGAAUAUUGGACAAUGGGGGAAACCCUGAUCCAGCGACGCCGCGUGUGUGAAGAAGGCCUGCGGGUUGUAAAGCACUUUUAGUGGGGAUGAAAAGCUCAGGGCUAAUACCGCUGAGUCUUGACCUAACCCAAAGAAAAAGCACCGGCUAACUCUGUGCCAGCAGCCGCGGUAAUACAGAGGGUGCAAGCGUUAAUCGGAAUUACUGGGCGUAAAGCGUGCGUAGACGGUAGCGUAAGUCGGGUGUGAAAGCCCCGGGCUCAACCUGGGAAUUGCAUUCGAGACUGCUCUGCUA
This 599-nucleotide ribosomal RNA is filed under the name uncultured bacterium. RNAcentral's name for it is "bacterial SSU rRNA". It matches the Rfam family "Bacterial small subunit ribosomal RNA", at positions 51 to 643 of the family's 1533-position model. The record is from RNAcentral.